This is a long non-coding RNA of Zingiber officinale, 422 nucleotides long. RefSeq lists it as uncharacterized. NCBI's taxonomy places the organism in Eukaryota, Viridiplantae, Streptophyta, Magnoliopsida, Zingiberales, Zingiberaceae. The record is from RefSeq and is a predicted model, not a curated record. The transcript has 2 exons.
AUCUUCUUUCUUCUAUGCUUCUUGGUUAUUUUGGAAUCUUUCUGCCACAAUUUUGCAAUGCAAGGUUGAAAUCUGCUUGUUGAAAAAUGGAAAACCAUCAUGGACGAAGAAGUUUCUUUGCUCCAAAGUCAGGUUGUUGUGUCUUAAGACUGGCUCGAGGAGACAAAAUAUGCUGGAUUGGUUUGUGCUUAGGCCCGUCAAGAAUUAAUUCAAGAUAUGUUUAAGGUCUGGCAAGAUUCUCAGCAAGGAACUCUUACUGGUGGCAUGAUAAAGUAUGAAAAUGCAAUCCUACAUGACAUGAACCACCAUCACAAGUUUCUAGUCUUUUGGCUAUUGUUCAUUAGUUGCAAAUGGAGUUUAUUUGUUUAUUUGUAUUGGGAUAAAUUUUAUUUGAAUAUGAGACAUGUUUUUUCUUUUGUGAU